This 336-nucleotide ribosomal RNA is filed under the name Vibrio sp. KR04-18. RNAcentral describes it as "bacterial SSU rRNA". It matches the Rfam family "Bacterial small subunit ribosomal RNA", at positions 99 to 438 of the family's 1533-position model. The record is from RNAcentral. Lineage: Bacteria; Pseudomonadati; Pseudomonadota; Gammaproteobacteria; Vibrionales; Vibrionaceae.
CGGACGGGUGAGUAAUGCCUAGGAAAUUGCCUUGAUGUGGGGGAUAACCAUUGGAAACGAUGGCUAAUACCGCAUAAUGCCUACGGGCCAAAGAGGGGGACCUUCGGGCCUCUCGCGUCAAGAUAUGCCUAGGUGGGAUUAGCUAGUUGGUGAGGUAAUGGCUCACCAAGGCGACGAUCCCUAGCUGGUCUGAGAGGAUGAUCAGCCACACUGGAACUGANACACGGUCCAGACUCCUACGGGAGGCAGCAGUGGGGAAUAUUGCACAAUGGGCGAAAGCCUGAUGCAGCCAUGCCGCGUGUAUGAANAANGCCUUCGGGUUGUAAAGUACUUUCA